This 253-nucleotide ribosomal RNA is filed under the name uncultured bacterium. Its description in RNAcentral is "partial 16S ribosomal RNA". It matches the Rfam family "Bacterial small subunit ribosomal RNA", at positions 524 to 776 of the family's 1533-position model. The record is from RNAcentral.
UACGGGGGGGGCAAGCGUUGUUCGGAAUUACUGGGCGUAAAGGGCUCGUAGGUGGCCAACUAAGUCAGACGUGAAAUCCCUCGGCUUAACCGGGGAACUGCGUCUGAUACUGGAUGGCUUGAAUCCGGGAGAGGGAUGCAGAAUUCCAGGUGUAGCGGUGAAAUGCGUAGAUAUCUGGAGGAAUACCGGUGGCGAAGGCGGCAUCCUGGACCGGCAUUGACGCUGAUGCGCGAAAGCCAGGGGAGCGAACGGG